Molecule: RNase P RNA, 294 nt
Filed under: Candidatus Vogelbacteria bacterium CG10_big_fil_rev_8_21_14_0_10_50_13
Lineage: Bacteria; Candidatus Vogeliibacteriota
Description: RNase P RNA component class A
Rfam family: Bacterial RNase P class A
About the family: Ribonuclease P (RNase P) is a ubiquitous endoribonuclease, found in archaea, bacteria and eukarya as well as chloroplasts and mitochondria.
Source: RNAcentral
AACUUGCAUCGGAUAGUCGCCCGCCAUUAGGCGGGAGGAAAGUCCGAACACCGCCUGCCAACAUCUCUCGAAGUUGUGGCGAGGAGUCAGGUAGCGGGUAACACCCGUCGGUUGUAAAACUAGAGGUGCGAACAGAAACGACCCGGUUAAGUCCGGCUGAAACGUGCUAAAUCCUUACCUCGGUGCAAGGCCGUGUCCGCCUUUGGCGGAAGUGCCGCUUGAGCCAGCCAGUAAUGUCUGGCCUAGAUCAAUGGCUAUCGAUAACAGAAUUCGGCUUAUAGAUGCAAGCCAGUA